UAGGGAAUAUUGGGCAAUGGACGAGAGUCUGACCCAGCCAUGCCGCGUGCAGGAUGAAGGCCUUCUGGGUUGUAAACUGCUUUUAUCUAGGAAGAAAAAACUCUUGCGAGAGGAACUGACGGUACUAGAGGAAUAAGCACCGGCUAACUCCGUGCCAGCAGCCGCGGUAAUACGGAGGGUGCCAGCGUUGUCCGGAUUUAUUGGGUUUAAAGGGUGCGUAGGCGGCCCAGUAAGUCCGUGGUGAAAGCCAACAGCUCAACUGUUGAACUGCCAUGGAUACUGCUGGGCUUGAGUACAGACGAGGUAGGCGGAAUGGAUGCUGUAGCGGUGAAAUGCAUAGAUAGCAUCCAGAACCCCGAUUGCGUAGGCAGCUUACUAGGCUGUAACUGACGCUGAGGCACGAAAGCGUGGGGAGCGAACAGG
Molecule: ribosomal RNA, 423 nt
Filed under: uncultured bacterium
Lineage: Bacteria
Description: bacterial SSU rRNA
Rfam family: Bacterial small subunit ribosomal RNA
Source: RNAcentral